GUAAUUUCAGUUUAUAUAAUAAAACUUGUCAGAAUGAAAAUGGAAUCAUUUGUGUAAAACCCUGGCAAAUGGAAGGCCUUGAAAGGAGGGUUGUCACGCAUGUAUGCCUAAUAACAAGAACUAUCACAAAAGAUAGCAAAAAACAUGACCUUACACAGAGGCUACUUCAACCUCAUACAAAAAAUACUUCUGUGAAAAAUAAAAAUACUUCUGUGAGCACAUGUGCUGAGCAACUGCCUGUCCAACCUUGGACUGACACCAUCCUCGUUAUUGGUCUCUGUAGGCAAAGAUAAUUGUUUCAAAAUAGUUAUGUAAUCCCCCUCAUUUUUCACUGAAAAACCCUUUUACCUCCCAGAACAUGCUCCCUGUAUUCCCAUUGCAAGGCUCAAUCCCCAAAACUAUCAUUUUCUUUUAUAGAGUCUCUCUCUGCCUGUUAUUUAGGUUGACAUAAUCUGGUGUCAAGAAGUGGGACCAAAGUGAGCUCACCUUGAUGGAUCGGUGACUCCUGGAAUCACAUGAAGUUCCCACAUUGAGCCCCUUUGAGCUCUCCAAUCCUACAGCUCACCUUUUCUGUCAUGGUGAAUCUCCUCUCAGGUUCUUGAACUCCCUCAUUUUGGUGAGUUCUUUUGACUUUCUUUGGGAUUUGUUUUGGAUAAUGGCUGCCUUAAUAAAGGACCUUGUAUCUCUCUUGAGACUAGAAAAUACAUUUUUUCUGACAAAUCCUUUCUGGUACAAAGAUAUUUUAUCUUUCUGGAGAGUAUACACUUCUGAUUUCUAUAAAAUUUACCUCAUGUAUUUUCUGGUGAGUUCUUUUUUUUUUCUUUUUGCAUGCCUUCGCAGCCAUUAUACAAUUCAGUGAGUCCUAGCUGAAAUGUAAAAACACCUGAGAAACUAACCACUAAAUUUGAGGCUUUAAAAAAAAAAGGUUCUUCAGUUUUGAGACCUGGACUGGGUUUCCUUGCUCCUCAAGUUUGCAGACAGCCUAUUGUUGGACCUUGUGAUCAUGUAAGUUAAUACUUAAUAAACUCCCCUAUAUAUCUAUAAACAUAUAUAUAUAUGUAUGUAUGUUACGUAUGUAUGUAUGUAUGUAUGUAUCCUAUUACUCUGUCCCUCUAGGGAACCCUGACUGAUACAGUUUAUGUCACUUUUUUUUUUUUUGAGAUGGAGUUUUGCUCUUGUCCAGGCUGGAGUGCAAUGGCACGAUCUCUGCUCACUGCAACCUUUGUCUCCCAGGUUCAAGUGAUUCUCCUGCCUCAGCUUCCUGAGUAACUGGGAUUACAGGCAAGCGCCACCAUGCCUGGCUAAUUUUGUAUUUUUAGUAGAGACAGGGUUUCACCAUGUUGAUCGGACUGGUCUCGAACUCCCAACCUCAGGUAAUCUUCCCACCUCAGCCUCCCAAAGUGCUGGGAUUACAGGCAUGAGCCACCACACCCGGCCUACUUUUUUUUUUUUUUAAGGCAGGAUCUUGCUCUGUUUCCCAGUCUGGAGUGCAGUGACACGAUCAUGACUCACUGCAGCCUCAACCUCUCAGACUCAAGCAAUCCUCUCACCUCAGCCUCCCAAAUAGAUGGGACUUUUUUUUUCUUUUUAAUUUUUUUAUAGAGAUAGGGUUUCACUAUGUUGCCCAGGCUACUCUCAACCUCCUGGGCUCAAGUGAUCCUCCCACCUUAGCCUCCCAAAGUGUCAGGAUUACAGGCAUGAACCAUCCUGCCCAGCCUAUUUUUGUGCAACUUUUUGAUGAAUAAGACUAGUUUAAUAUUGUUACUUUAGUGAAAACAGCUGUAUCUUCUAAGUAAUCAAUAAAAUAUCCAUGUACUUUAAGGUUCUUAAUGUGAACAUCUAACAUUCACAUGCUGUAAAAAUGGCUAACAGAAAGGUAACUUGAAAUAAUGAUUAGCUCUGUGUAAUAUCUGUUUUCAUAAGUAAUCUAGGUAUAAUGGUUAAAAAAUAAAUUAGGUAAAUGAAAAGGGAAUAAGUAUGUAUAAAUGAACUUUUCAUAUGAUUUGAGAUCUUAAAGUUAUGUUAAAUAAGUAAUAGUUAUUCAUUAAAUGUCUGGGUCAUAGCCAAAUAAGAUAAAAUAUGAAAACAUUAAUUACUGAACAUAGAUUCAAAUUAAUUUACUUUUGGCUUUUUUUUUUUCUUUUUUGAGACAAAGUUUCACUCUUGUCCCCCAGGCUGGAGUGCAAUGGCACAAUCUCGGCUCACUGCAACCUCCCCCUUACAGGUUCAAGCAAUUCUGCCUCAGCCUCCCAAGAAGCUGGGAUUACAGGCGCCUGCCACCACACCCAGCUAAUUUUUGUAUUUUUAGUAGACAGGGUUUCACCAUGUUGGCCAGGCUGGUCUCGAACUCCUGACCUCAGGUGAUCUGCCCGCCUUGGCCUCCCAAAGUGCUGAGAUUACAGGCAUGAGCACCAUGCCCGGCCUUCUUUUUUUUUUUUUUAGGCAGGGUCUCACUCUCACCCAGGCUGGAAUGCAUGAUCACAGCUCACUGCAACCUCUACCUCCCAGGCUUGAGCAGAUCCUCCCAGCUUAGCCUCCCCAGUAGCUAGGUCUACAGGUGUGAACCACCAUGCCCAGCUAAUUUUUUGAUUUUUUUUUUUUUUUUUUUUUUUUUUGAGCCAGAGUUGCGCUCUUGUUACCUGGGCUGGAGUGUAAUGGCGCAAUCUCAGCUAACUGCAUUCUUCGCCUCCCAGGUUCAAGCGAUUCUCCUGCCUCAGCCUCCCGAGAUUCUCCUGCCUCAGCCUCCCGAGUAGCUGGAAUUACAGGCAUGCGCCACCAUGCCCAGCCUUUGAUUUUUUUUUUUUAAGAGAUGGGGUCUCUGUAUGUUGCCCAGGCUUGUCUUGAACUCCUGGGCUCAAGCGGUCCUCUCACCUCAGCCUCCCCAAGUGCUAGGAUUACAGGCAGGAGACACCACACCUGGCCUACUUUUGGCUUCUUAAGUUUUAAAGAAAGAGAAAAGCUAUUUGGGCUUAUUAAUAAAUACGUUCUGUUUCACAUUGGAAAAUUGUUCUAUGAGAAAGCACAUGUUUCUAGAGAUUAUGAAAUACAUAUUCAUAGGAGGUUGAUGUAUGUCAGAUAGUUCAGAGUUUGCUUGCUUCCUGGGCUUUCACUAGAAAUUAGGGUUACUGAGAGUUAAAAAUUCUAAUUAAUGUAUGUGAUUCUGCAUGCAAGAUAUAUAAGAAAUUGUGUUUUUGAUGAGAAAAACUUUGAAGAUGAGAAUUUUUUUAAAGAAAAGAAUAGUUUUGUCUAAAUUCAGAGGUUAUUUAAGGUUAUUUUAAAAGUAAAUUUAGAAAGAAGAUAGCAGCAAGACAGAAAGGAACCAGUAGGAAGAAGAGAGGCUUGCAUAGAAAGUUAUAGGUAUGAAGAUGUAUUUUUGGAAAGGGAGGUUAAAAAGAGAAGAGGUUUUUUUUUUUGGUAUGAGAGAGAAUCUCAAGUGGUCAAAAUCAAAAGAAAAAAAGUAAAUUGUGUCCUAAAGUAAAAUGACUGGUUGUUAAAGAAAGAGCAACUAUAAAUAGGACAAAACCAAAAGUCUGGGCAGGUCACAGACAGUCUGAGCUAGUUGUAAAAGGUUUGUGAAAGAUGACUCUUACGAAAGAAAUUUUGUGUGUGAUAAAGUUGGCUAAAAUUACACUUGGUUUUAGCCAAAAGGCUGAGAAGCGAUGAAGUUGGCUAAAAUUAGAAGAGAAUUAUUUAUAAAUAUUUCUAAAGAUUUAGAUUUAAUUAUAUGUAUAAUUAAAUAAAAACAGCUACAUAUGUAUACAUAUAU
This 3766-nucleotide long non-coding RNA is filed under the name Homo sapiens (human). RNAcentral's name for it is "HSALNT0075332". The record is from RNAcentral. Lineage: Eukaryota; Metazoa; Chordata; Mammalia; Primates; Hominidae.